Molecule: transfer RNA, 87 nt
Filed under: Candidatus Rokuibacteriota bacterium
Lineage: Bacteria; Candidatus Rokuibacteriota
Description: tRNA-Leu
Rfam family: tRNA
About the family: Transfer RNA (tRNA) molecules are approximately 80 nucleotides in length. Their secondary structure includes four short double-helical elements and three loops (D, anti-codon, and T loops).
Source: RNAcentral
GCGAGAGUGGCGAAACUGGCAGACGCGCUGGACCUAGGAUCCAGAGGGCGCAAGCCCGUGGGGGUUCGACUCCCCCCUCUCGCACCA